UGGGGAAUAUUGCACAAUGGGCGAAAGCCUGAUGCAGCGACGCCGCGUGAGGGAUGACGGCCUUCGGGUUGUAAACCUCUUUCAGCAGGGACGAAGCGCAAGUGACGGUACCUGCAGAAGAAGCACCGGCUAACUACGUGCCAGCAGCCGCGGUAAUACGUAGGGUGCAAGCGUUGUCCGGAAUUACUGGGCGUAAAGAGUUCGUAGGCGGUUUGUCGCGUCGUUUGUGAAAACCAGCAGCUCAACUGCUGGCUUGCAGGCGAUACGGGCAGACGUGAGUACUGCAGGGGAGACUGGAAUUCCUGGUGUAGCGGUGAAAUGCGCAGAUAUCAGGAGGAACACCGGUGGCGAAGGCGAGUCUCUGGGCAGUAACUGACGCUGAGGAACGAAAGCGUGGGUAGCGAACAGG
Molecule: ribosomal RNA, 409 nt
Filed under: Actinomycetes bacterium
Lineage: Bacteria; Bacillati; Actinomycetota; Actinomycetes
Description: Actinobacteria bacterium partial 16S ribosomal RNA
Rfam family: Bacterial small subunit ribosomal RNA
Source: RNAcentral